CAGGAGCCUCAGAGCAGCUGAUUCCUGGAUAAGGAUCGUCUCCUUGGCCUAGCCUACCAUGGUCCCAAGCUGUCCUUGAGGCUGAGGUAGUAGAUUGAAUAGUUGUGGAGUCCUAUCCUCCCUUUGAGCUAACUAUACAAUCUACUGUCUUUCCUAAGGAGACAGUCAGGUCAUCGGUUCUCAUCUACUUCAACAAGCAGGGAGGCAGGUGGUGCAAGUAAUCCUGUCCUUAUUCAAGGCCAGUGAUAUGGCUGUGAAUCACGUGAGACCUCUGUACUGCUCUGUGGAGGUGCAAGAUAAACAGUGAAAUGAGUUGGUGCAUCAGCUCCUGGUGUUCAGUUCUAUCCUUUUUUUCCAGAAGAUGCGAUCAACUUGGGAAAGGUUUAGAGAAGCAGAUGGGACCAUCCCUCUGCCAUAUUCCAGCGCAAAUAGGAUCAAGAUCAUGAGCGGGUCUGUAACCUGAUCAGGGCUGCACCAGCUCUUCAAGAGGGAAAGACGUCUUAGGCCAUUAUCAUUGCCAUCUCACUGUCAGGAAAACAUGUGAGAUCUGAGACAUCAGAGACCAAGGGCAAGCAGAGGACACAUUCACAGAUGAAGUGGGGAGAAGAGGGCUGGAAAAAGAAAUUGGACCCCUCC
Molecule: long non-coding RNA, 636 nt
Filed under: Apteryx owenii (little spotted kiwi)
Lineage: Eukaryota; Metazoa; Chordata; Aves; Apterygiformes; Apterygidae
Description: lncRNA (ENSAOWG00000006812.1)
Rfam family: let-7 microRNA precursor family (bases 77-157)
Source: RNAcentral